This 2607-nucleotide ribosomal RNA is filed under the name Cyanoptyche gloeocystis. Its description in RNAcentral is "large subunit ribosomal RNA". It matches the Rfam family "Bacterial large subunit ribosomal RNA". The record is from RNAcentral. Lineage: Eukaryota; Glaucocystophyceae.
UAUAUAUUGGAUGGCAUAUUGAGGUAACAAUAGCAUAUGGACGUAUAUUUACGAAAAGCCUUUAAAAUAAUUACUUAAAGGAUUUCCAAACUCUUAUAAAUAAGUAUAAUGAGCAUAACAAAGUGAACUGAAACAUCUAAGUAACUUGUAAAGAAAUCAAACGAGAAUUUUUUAGUAGUGGUGAGCGAAAAAAAAAAAAAAUGUUAAAAAUUUUAUAUACAUUCACGGUUAUUGAAUAAUGUUAAAACAUAGCAAAAUAAGGUAAAAGUCCUGUAAAUAACUAAAAAUAAGCGCUAAAAGUAAAUAGGUAGCAAAACUUAUUGAAAACAGGGGUACCACCCUCUAAGCCUUUAAAUAUUGUUAACCGAAAGUGAACUAGUACCGUGAGGGAAAAAUUGAAAGAGAAAUUUGAAAAAAAUUAAUAAUUAACAUAAAAUCCGAUAUAAAAAAGCAGUUGAUGACAAGCAUUGUUAACAACGUACCUUUUGUAUAAUGGGUCAGCAACUAAAUAAAUUUAGCAAGCUUAAAUAUGUAGGCACUAUUAACAUUAUUUAGUUAAAUUUAUUUUACCCGAAACCAAGUGAUCUAUCUAUAAGCAGGUUGAAAAAUCUAAAAAAUUAGGAGGACCGAACCCGUGUCUGUUGCAAAAGACUGGGACGACUUGUGGAUAGGGGUGAAAGGCUAAUCAAACUUGGAGAUAGCUGGUUUUCCGCGAAAUCUAUUUAGGUAGGGCAUUAAAAUAUAACUAUUAUGGGUAGAGCACUUAUUAAACUAAGGGAUUAACAUCUACUGAAUUUUUUAAAACUCCGAAUAAUAAUAAUUUAUUUUAAUAGACAGACAAUGGGUGCUAAGGUCCAUAGUCGAAAGGGUAACAGCCCAGAUAGCAAGUUAAGGUCCCAAAAUAAAAGCUAAGUGUAAAUGAUGUAAAAGUAUGGAUACAACCAAAAGGUAAGCUUAGAAGCAGCUAUCCUUUAAAGAAAGCGUAAAAGCUCAUUGGUCUAAUGUAUUUUUGCACAAAAAAUAAAAAGGGUCUAAGCUUUUUACCGAAACUGCUAGAGUAUUUCUCGGUAGCGGAACUAAUUUGUCACAAAGAAAAAUUAUUAAAAAAUAAUUUGGAGAGACAAAUUCUGAUAAUGCUGACAUGAGUAGCUAAAAAUAAAGUAAAAACUUUAUCAUCUAAAAUCAUAUGGUUUAUACAAUAAGUUAAGCUAUUGUGUAGUAAGACGGCCCCUAAGGUAUAUUGCGAAAGGAGUAGCCGAUGGGUUAGGGUUCUAUUAAAAGUGACAAAUAGUAUAGAAGAAGCAUUAAACUUAAAUGUUGAAACAAUUAUACUAUAUCUGGAAAUAGCUUAAUUAAAGUGACCGUUCAAAAACCGACUCAGGUUGACUAAUGUAAAAGCAUGAAGAUGUUAGAAAUAAUUAUGUUGAAGGAACUCGGCAAAAUAACUUCGUAACUUUGGAAUAAGAAGUAUCCUUAAUGGAUGACACAUAAUAGGGGGUAGCGACUGUUUAACAAAAACACAGGACUCUGCUAAAUCGUAAGAUGACGUAUAGGGUCUGACACCUGCCCGGUGCUGAUAGGUGAAAAAAUAAUGUGCAAGCUUUAUUUAUAAACCCCAGUAAACGGCGGCCGUAACCAUAACGGUCCUAAGGUAGCGAAAUUCCUUGGCGGGUAAGUUCCGUCCUGCACGAAUGGUGUAACGACUUCCCUACUGUCUCCAACAUAAAUUCUGUGAAAUUGAAUUCUCCGUGAAGAUGCGGAGUACCUGCGGCUAGACGGGAAGACCCCGUGCACCUUUACUACAACUUUUCAUUACGUAGAAAAAAGUGUUAUAUAGAAUAGAUGGGAGUUUAAAAGUAUUAUGCGCUAGCUUAAAACUUUUCACAUAUUUUGCGUAAAACUUAAAUGUAAUACCAUCUAACACUUUUUUCGAAGUUUACUAUAUUUUUAGGACAGUGAAUGGAUGGUAGUUUGACUGGGGCGGUCGCCUCCUAAAAUGUAACGGAGGCGUACAAAGGUAAGUUCAAGCUAAAUUGAAACUAGCUUAAGAGUGCAACGGCAAUACUUACUUUACUAUAAGGCAAACAAGCCAAAUAGUUGUUAAAAGCAAGUCGUAGUGAUCCGGUAACACUUUGUGGAAAGGUUAUCGCUCAACGGAUAAAAGGUACGCCGGGGAUAACAGGCUAAUGAUUCCCAAGAGUCCUUAUCGACGGGAUCGUUUGGCACCUCGAUGUCGGCUCAUCACAACCUGGAGCUGAAGAAGGUUCCAAAGGUUCGGCUGUUCGCCGAUUAAAGUGGUACGUGAGCUGGGUUCAGAACGUCGUGAGACAGUUCGGUCCCUAUCUACCGUAGGAUCUAAACAACUAGAAAUCAUUUUUAGUACGAGAGGACCAAAAUGGUUUGAUCAAUGGUGUACCAGUCGCUAAAAAAGCGUCGCUGGGUAGCUAAAUCAAAAAAAAUAAUUACUGAAAGCAUAUAAGUAAGAAAUUAUACUAAGUUGUUUAAAAUAAGUUCUAGAUUAGAACUUCCUUAGGUUAAUCGUGUAAAGUUUGUAAAAAAUAAGCGUAUUAAUACUAAUAAGAAUAAUAAACAAAUUGAUUUAGAAAA